Molecule: ribosomal RNA, 475 nt
Filed under: uncultured bacterium
Lineage: Bacteria
Description: bacterial SSU rRNA
Rfam family: Bacterial small subunit ribosomal RNA
Source: RNAcentral
GGAUUAGGCAUGCAAGUCGCACGAAUCCCAUUUGGGUAACUGAGUGGGGGAAGUGGCGAAAGGGGCAGUAAGGCAUGGGUAACUUGCCCUGGAGUCCGGAAUAGCCAUCCUAACGGAUGGGUAAUACCGGAUGUCGUACCUGGAGGGCCUCCUUCGGGUACGAAAGUUCAGGCGCUCCGGGAGGGGUCCAUGUAGUAUUAGCUAGUUGGUGAGGUAACGGCUCACCAAGGCCAAGAUGCUUAGCAGGUGUGAGAGCACGACCUGCGCCACUGGCACUGGGACACUGGCCAGACUCCUACGGGAGGCUGCAGUCGAGGAUCUUCGUCAAUGGGCGAAAGCCUGAACGAGCGACGCCGCGUGGGCGAUGAAGGCCUUCGGGUUGUAAAGCCCUGUCGAGGGGGAGAAAAGCGGGCAACCGUGUGAUCUAUCCCUGGAGGAAGCUCGGGCUAAGUUCGUGCCAGCAGCCGCGGUAAUA